This 253-nucleotide ribosomal RNA is filed under the name uncultured bacterium. RNAcentral describes it as "partial 16S ribosomal RNA". It matches the Rfam family "Bacterial small subunit ribosomal RNA", at positions 524 to 776 of the family's 1533-position model. The record is from RNAcentral.
UACGUAGGGUGCGAGCGUUGUCCGGAAUUAUUGGGCGUAAAGAGCGUGUAGGCGGUUUGGUAGGUCCGCUGUGAAAACUCGAGGCUCAACUUCGAGACGCCGGUGGAAACCAUCAGACUAGAGUCCGGAAGAGGAGAGUGGAAUUCCUGGUGUAGCGGUGAAAUGCGCAGAUAUCAGGAAGAACACCCGUGGCUAAGGCGGCUCUCUAGUACGGUACUGACGCUGAGACGCGAAAGCGUGGGGAGCGAACAGG